RNAcentral lists this ribosomal RNA (452 nucleotides) under uncultured bacterium. Its description in RNAcentral is "bacterial SSU rRNA". It matches the Rfam family "Bacterial small subunit ribosomal RNA", at positions 29 to 523 of the family's 1533-position model. The record is from RNAcentral.
AGCGAACGCUGGCGGCAGGCUUAACACAUGCAAGUCGAGCGGGCGUAGCAAUACGUCAGCGGCAGACGGGUGAGUAACGCGUGGGAACGUACCUUUUGGUUCGGAACAACCCAGGGAAACUUGGGCUAAUACCGGAUAAGCCCUUACGGGGAAAGAUUUAUCGCCGAAAGAUCGGCCCGCGUCUGAUUAGCUAGUUGGUGAGGUAACGGCUCACCAAGGCGACGAUCAGUAGCUGGUCUGAGAGGAUGAUCAGCCACAUUGGGACUGAGACACGGCCCAAACUCCUACGGGAGGCAGCAGUGGGGAAUAUUGGACAAUGGGCGGCAAGCCUGAUCCAGCCAUGCCGCGUGAGUGAUGAAGGCCCUAGGGUUGUAAAGCUCUUUUGUGCGGGAAGAUAAUGACGGUACCGCAAGAAUAAGCCCCGGCUAACUUCGUGCCAGCCGCCGCCGAAC